GGUUAAGCGACUAAGCGUACACGGUGGAUGCCCUGGCAGUCAGAGGCGAUGAAGGACGUGCUAAUCUGCGAUAAGCGUCGGUGAGGUGAUAUGAACCGUUAUAACCGGCGAUUUCCGAAUGGGGAAACCCAGUGUGUUUCGACACACUAUCAUUAACUGAAUCCAUAGGUUAAUGAGGCGAACCGGGGGAACUGAAACAUCUAAGUACCCCGAGGAAAAGAAAUCAACCGAGAUUCCCCCAGUAGCGGCGAGCGAACGGGGAGCAGCCCAGAGCCUGAAUCAGUGUGUGUGUUAGUGGAAGCGUCUGGAAAGGCGUGCGAUACAGGGUGACAGCCCCGUACACAAAAAUGCACAUACUGUGAGCUCGAUGAGUAGGGCGGGACACGUGGUAUCCUGUCUGAAUAUGGGGGGACCAUCCUCCAAGGCUAAAUACUCCUGACUGACCGAUAGUGAACCAGUACCGUGAGGGAAAGGCGAAAAGAACCCCGGCGAGGGGAGUGAAAAAGAACCUGAAACCGUGUACGUACAAGCAGUGGGAGCCUCUUAAUGGGGUGACUGCGUACCUUUUGUAUAAUGGGUCAGCGACUUAUAUUCUGUAGCAAGGUUAACCGAAUAGGGGAGCCGAAGGGAAACCGAGUCUUAACUGGGCGUUAAGUUGCAGGGUAUAGACCCGAAACCCGGUGAUCUAGCCAUGGGCAGGUUGAAGGUUGGGUAACACUAACUGGAGGACCGAACCGACUAAUGUUGAAAAAUUAGCGGAUGACUUGUGGCUGGGGGUGAAAGGCCAAUCAAACCGGGAGAUAGCUGGUUCUCCCCGAAAGCUAUUUAGGUAGCGCUUCGUGAAUUCAUCUCCGGGGGUAGAGCACUGUUUCGGCAAGGGGGUCAUCCCGACUUACCAACCCGAUGCAAACUGCGAAUACCGGAGAAUGUUAUCACGGGAGACACACGGCGGGUGCUAACGUCCGUCGUGAAGAGGGAAACAACCCAGACCGCCAGCUAAGGUCCCAAAGUCAUGGUUAAGUGGGAAACGAUGUGGGAAGGCCCAGACAGCCAGGAUGUUGGCUUAGAAGCAGCCAUCAUUUAAAGAAAGCGUAAUAGCUCACUGGUCGAGUCGGCCUGCGCGGAAGAUGUAACGGGGCUAAACCAUGCACCGAAGCUGCGGCAGCGACGCUUAUGCGUUGUUGGGUAGGGGAGCGUUCUGUAAGCCUGCGAAGGUGUACUGUGAGGUAUGUUGGAGGUAUCAGAAGUGCGAAUGCUGACAUAAGUAACGAUAAAGCGGGUGAAAAGCCCGCUCGCCGGAAGACCAAGGGUUCCUGUCCAACGUUAAUCGGGGCAGGGUGAGUCGACCCCUAAGGCGAGGCCGAAAGGCGUAGUCGAUGGGAAACAGGUUAAUAUUCCUGUACUUGGUGUUACUGCGAAGGGGGGACGGAGAAGGCUAUGUUGGCCGGGCGACGGUUGUCCCGGUUUAAGCGUGUAGGCUGAUUUUCCAGGCAAAUCCGGAAAAUCAAGGCUGAGGCGUGAUGACGAGGCACUACGGUGCUGAAGCAACAAAUGCCCUGCUUCCAGGAAAAGCCUCUAAGCAUCAGGUAACAUCAAAUCGUACCCCAAACCGACACAGGUGGUCAGGUAGAGAAUACCAAGGCGCUUGAGAGAACUCGGGUGAAGGAACUAGGCAAAAUGGUGCCGUAACUUCGGGAGAAGGCACGCUGAUAUGUAGGUGAAGUCCCUCGCGGAUGGAGCUGAAAUCAGUCGAAGAUACCAGCUGGCUGCAACUGUUUAUUAAAAACACAGCACUGUGCAAACACGAAAGUGGACGUAUACGGUGUGACGCCUGCCCGGUGCCGGAAGGUUAAUUGAUGGGGUUAGCGGUAACGCGAAGCUCUUGAUCGAAGCCCCGGUAAACGGCGGCCGUAACUAUAACGGUCCUAAGGUAGCGAAAUUCCUUGUCGGGUAAGUUCCGACCUGCACGAAUGGCGUAAUGAUGGCCAGGCUGUCUCCACCCGAGACUCAGUGAAAUUGAACUCGCUGUGAAGAUGCAGUGUACCCGCGGCAAGACGGAAAGACCCCGUGAACCUUUACUAUAGCUUGACACUGAACAUUGAGCCUUGAUGUGUAGGAUAGGUGGGAGGCUUUGAAGUGUGGACGCCAGUCUGCAUGGAGCCGGCCUUGAAAUACCACCCUUUAAUGUUUGAUGUUCUAACGUUGGCCCCUGAUCGGGGUUGCGGACAGUGUCUGGUGGGUAGUUUGACUGGGGCGGUCUCCUCCUAAAGAGUAACGGAGGAGCACGAAGGUUGGCUAAUCCUGGUCGGACAUCAGGAGGUUAGUGCAAUGGCAUAAGCCAGCUUGACUGCGAGCGUGACGGCGCGAGCAGGUGCGAAAGCAGGUCAUAGUGAUCCGGUGGUUCUGAAUGGAAGGGCCAUCGCUCAACGGAUAAAAGGUACUCCGGGGAUAACAGGCUGAUACCGCCCAAGAGUUCAUAUCGACGGCGGUGUUUGGCACCUCGAUGUCGGCUCAUCACAUCCUGGGGCUGAAGUAGGUCCCAAGGGUAUGGCUGUUCGCCAUUUAAAGUGGUACGCGAGCUGGGUUUAGAACGUCGUGAGACAGUUCGGUCCCUAUCUGCCGUGGGCGCUGGAGAACUGAGGGGGGGCUGCUCCUAGUACGAGAGGACCGGAGUGGACGCAUCACUGGUGUUCGGGUUGUCAUGCCAAUGGCACUGCCCGGUAGCUAAAUGCGGAAGAGAUAAGUGCUGAAAGCAUCUAAGCACGAAACUUGCCCCGAGAUGAGUUCUCCCUGACUCCUUGAGAGUCCUGAAGGAACGUUGAAGACGACGACGUUGAUAGGCCGGGUGUGUAAGCGCAGCGAUGCGUUGAGCUAACCGGUACUAAUGAACCGUGAGGCUUAACCUU
This 2906-nucleotide ribosomal RNA is filed under the name Escherichia coli. Its description in RNAcentral is "23S ribosomal RNA". It matches the Rfam family "Bacterial large subunit ribosomal RNA". Lineage: Bacteria; Pseudomonadati; Pseudomonadota; Gammaproteobacteria; Enterobacterales; Enterobacteriaceae. The record is from RNAcentral.